This 261-nucleotide ribosomal RNA is filed under the name uncultured Glomus. RNAcentral's name for it is "partial 18S ribosomal RNA". It matches the Rfam family "Eukaryotic small subunit ribosomal RNA", at positions 624 to 887 of the family's 1831-position model. The record is from RNAcentral. Lineage: Eukaryota; Fungi; Glomeromycota; Glomeromycetes; Glomerales; Glomeraceae.
AAGCUCGUAGUUGAAUUUCGGGGUCAGUAGGUUGGUCGUGCCACUGGUAUGUACUGGCCUCACUGAUUCCUCCUUCCUGAUGAGCUGUAAUGCCAUUAAUUUGGUGUUGCAGGGAAUCUGGACUGUUACUUUGAAAAAACUUAGAGUGUUUAAAAGCAGGCUAACGCUUGAAUACAUUAGCAUGGAAUAAUGAAAUAGGACGUUCGAUCCUAUUUUGUUGGUUUCUAGGAUUGACGUAAUGAUUAAUAGGGAUAGUUGGGU